GUUCUUUCACAUAAUACAUUAUAAUUCCAGGCCCAUCCUAUUUUAUCCCUCCUUUUAAUGAAAAUUUUAUAACAAAUCAUUUCUCAAGUAUUUACAUCAAAACUGUUAAGGAGGGUUUUAUUUGAACAUCACCCCCGGGACUUUUGCAACAAAAAGUUCUUUUCCCUUAAAAGCAACGAAGAAUUGCCAUCCUUUCAGAAUUUUUUCCACCAUUUAAGAAGUGCUUUUUGGCUGAUGGAGAAGUUAAAAAUUUCAACUUUUCUUCAGCCAAAAGUCCGUUUGGCUGAUAAUUUCCCAUUUUAACCUCUCUUCUCCCCCAAAAAAGUUUCUUUUCUCUGGUUCUUUGGAGCUCUAUACCCAUUUUUUUCACAUUUUCACUUUCAAAGUUUUUUGUUCAGGUUCUUUGUUCCUCUUCCGCCGUUGUUUCAAUGGAUUCCAGGCCUGAAUAGCAAAUAAUAAAAGAGAAAGUGGAGAUGAGGGGGGAGUCAUCUGGUUUGAUAAUUGGGAUUUCUAUAGGAGUGGUAAUUGGUGUAUUAGAUGUCAUAGAAGGAGAUCCCGGAUAGGAAACAGCAGUUCCAGGAGAGCUUCAACUAUUCCUAUAAGGGCUAAUGGAGCUGAUUCUUGUACUAUAUUAUCCAAUUCAACUUCAACUAUUCCUGUAAGGGCUAAUGGAGCUGAUUCUUGUACUAUAUUAUCCAAUUCAACUAUCGGUCCCGAUUCACCUGUGAAAUCUGGAAGAAAUAGAAUGUCUGUGUGGAUUGAAGGGUUUAGAAGGAGUAAUGUUGUCUCUGCGUAUGAAAUACUUGAAUAUUCGUACAAGUAUGUUUCUUCGAAACUUGUUGAAUUAUGCAUCACAACGGUUUGUUUUGAUUGGUAUUUGCAAAUAUUUUUCUUUAGUUUUAUAUGUGAUUAUGAUUCAACAGUGCUGAGUUGGUGAUUCGAUUAUGUUGUUUUCCAUUUGAAGGAUUAAUGAUAGGCAAUGGAAAAUUAUUUUUUUGCUUCA
Long non-coding RNA from Gossypium raimondii (Peruvian cotton), 1003 nucleotides. RefSeq lists it as uncharacterized. The transcript is spliced from 2 exons. NCBI's taxonomy places the organism in Eukaryota, Viridiplantae, Streptophyta, Magnoliopsida, Malvales, Malvaceae. The record is from RefSeq and is a predicted model, not a curated record.